RNAcentral lists this ribosomal RNA (624 nucleotides) under uncultured bacterium. RNAcentral's name for it is "bacterial SSU rRNA". It matches the Rfam family "Bacterial small subunit ribosomal RNA", at positions 29 to 643 of the family's 1533-position model. The record is from RNAcentral.
AGGAACGCUAGCGCGCAGUGCUUAACACAUGCAAGUCGAGGGGCAGCGCGGAGUAGCAAUACUCUGGCGGCGACCGGCGAAAGGGUGCGUAACACGUGAGCGACUUGCCCGUCACACGGAGAUAACCGCUGGAAACAGCGACUAAUAUCCCAUAUGAUGGCGAUCUGCAUGGAUUGUCAUUGAAAGAUUCAUCGGUGACGGAUAGGCUCGCGGGGCAUUAGCUAGACGGCGGGGCAACGGCCCACCGUGGCGACGAUGCCUAGGGGUUCUGAGAGGAAGACCCCCCACACUGGGACUGAGACACGGCCCAUACUCCUACGGGAGGCAGCAGUGAGGAAUAUUGAUCAAUGGGCGGAAGCCUGAACCAGUCAUGCCGCGUGAAGGACUAAGGGCCUAUGGGUCGUAUACUUCUUUAGACGCAAAGCAAUAAGGGUCUCGUGAGAUCCGAUGAGAGUAUGCGUACAAUAAGCAUCGGCUAACUCCGUGCCAGCAGCCGCGGUAAUACGGGGGAUGCGAGCGUUAUCCGGAUUUAUUGGGUUUAAAGGAUGCGUACGCUGAAGUGCAAGUCAUGCGGUAGAAAUCCCCGCGCUCAACGCGAGAGUUGCCGUUGAUACUGUACAUCUG